AUUGAACGCUGGCGGCAGGCCUAACACAUGCAAGUCGAGCGAGUGGCGGACGGGUGAGUAAUGUCUGGGAAACUGCCUGAUGGAGGGGGAUAACUACUGGAAACGGUAGCUAAUACCGCAUACCAUCGGAUGUGCCCAGAUUGGAUUAGCUAGUAGGUGGGGUAAAGGCUCACCUAGGCGACGAUCCCUCGCUGGUCUGAGAGGAUGACCGGCAACACUGGAACUGAUACACGGUCCAGACUCCUACGGGAGGAAGCAGUGGGGAAUAUUGCACAAUGGGCGCAAGCCUGAUGCAGCCAUGCCGCGUGUAUGAAGAAGGCCUUCGGGUUGUAAAGUACUUUAAGCGAGGAGGGGUUACUCGCAGAAGAAGCACCGGCUAACGCCGUGCCAGCGGCCGCGGUAAUAC
This 406-nucleotide ribosomal RNA is filed under the name uncultured bacterium. RNAcentral describes it as "partial 16S ribosomal RNA". It matches the Rfam family "Bacterial small subunit ribosomal RNA", at positions 30 to 526 of the family's 1533-position model. The record is from RNAcentral.